RNAcentral lists this ribosomal RNA (253 nucleotides) under uncultured bacterium. RNAcentral describes it as "partial 16S ribosomal RNA". It matches the Rfam family "Bacterial small subunit ribosomal RNA", at positions 524 to 776 of the family's 1533-position model. The record is from RNAcentral.
UACAGAGGGGGCAAGCGUUGUUCGGAAUUACUGGGCGUAAAGGGCUCGUAGGCGGCCAACUAAGUCGGACGUGAAAUCCCCAGGCUCAACCUGGGAACUGCGUCCGAUACUGGAUGGCUUGAAUUUGGGAGAGGGAUGCAGAAUUCCAGGUGUAGCGGUGAAAUGCGUAGAUAUCUGGAGGAAUACCGGUGGCGAAGGCGGCAUCCUGGACCGACAUUGACGCUGAUGAGCGAAAGCCAGGGGAGCAAACGGG